Molecule: ribosomal RNA, 336 nt
Filed under: Triticum aestivum (bread wheat)
Lineage: Eukaryota; Viridiplantae; Streptophyta; Magnoliopsida; Poales; Poaceae
Description: partial small subunit ribosomal RNA
Source: RNAcentral
AUGCUUCCCGCUAAAGCACCAGCAGCAGCUAAGAAGAUUGAAGAAUCCAAUAAGCCAUCUACUGAAGUGAAGAAUUCUGCGGUUGCUACUGCACAAAAGAAAAACCAGGAAUUGGACGGCUUUGAUAGUGAUUCUGAUGAUUCAUCAGAUGAGGAUAUGGCCACUAAAAGACCAGUAGCCAAGAAAGUGGUAGAAUCCAGUGAAAGUUCUGAUUCUGACUCUGAGGAGGACACCACUGCUAAACCAGUUCAAUCUUCCAAGGCUGUUGCUGUUAUAAAGAAUCUAGUGAUAGCUCAGAUUCUGAAGAAGAUACCACUGCUAACACAGUUUCUGUAA